Molecule: ribosomal RNA, 492 nt
Filed under: uncultured bacterium
Lineage: Bacteria
Description: partial 16S ribosomal RNA
Rfam family: Bacterial small subunit ribosomal RNA
Source: RNAcentral
AGUGAACGCUGGCGGUAGGCCUAACACAUGCAAGUCGAACGGCAGCACAGUAAGAGCUUGCUCUUACGGGUGGCGAGUGGCGGACGGGUGAGGAAUACAUCGGAAUCUACUUUUUCGUGGGGGAUAACGUAGGGAAACUUACGCUAAUACCGCAUACGACCUACGGGUGAAAGCAGGGGAUCUUCGGACCUUGCGCGAUUGAAUGAGCCGAUGCCGGAUUAGCUAGUUGGCGGGGUAAAGGCCCACCAAGGCGACGAUCCGUAGCUGGUCUGAGCGGAUGAUCAGCCACACUGGAACUGAGACACGGUCCAGACUCCUACGGGAGGCAGCAGUGGGGAAUAUUGGACAAUGGGCGCAAGCCUGAUCCAGCCAUACCGCGUGAGUGAAGAAGGCCUUCGGGUUGUAAAGCCCUUUUGUUGGGAAAGAAAAGCAGCAGGUUAAUACCCCGCUGUUCUGACGGUACCCAAAGAAUAAGCACCGGCUAACUUCGUG